RNAcentral lists this ribosomal RNA (507 nucleotides) under uncultured bacterium. Its description in RNAcentral is "partial 16S ribosomal RNA". It matches the Rfam family "Bacterial small subunit ribosomal RNA", at positions 28 to 507 of the family's 1533-position model. The record is from RNAcentral.
GACGAACGCUGGCGGCGUGCCUAAUACAUGCAAGUCGAACGCAUUUUCUUUCACCGUAGCUUGCUACACCGAAAGAAAAUGAGUGGCGAACGGGUGAGUAACACGUGGGUAACCUGCCCAUCAGCGGGGGAUAACACUUGGAAACAGGUGCUAAUACCGCAUAAUUCCAUUUACCGCAUGGUAAAUGGAUGAAAGGCGCUUUUGCGUCACUGAUGGAUGGACCCGCGGUGCAUUAGCUAGUUGGUGGGGUAACGGCCUACCAAGGCUGCGAUGCAUAGCCGACCUGAGAGGGUGAUCGGCCACACUGGGACUGAGACACGGCCCAGACUCCUACGGGAGGCAGCAGUAGGGAAUCUUCGGCAAUGGACGCAAGUCUGACCGAGCAACGCCGCGUGAUUGAAGAAGGUUUUCGGAUCGUAAAACUCGGUUGUUAGAGAAGAACAAGGAUGAGAGUGGAAAGUUCAUCCCUUGACGGUAUCUAACCAGAAAGCCACGGCUAACUACGUG